Long non-coding RNA from Equus caballus (horse), 818 nucleotides. The record is from Ensembl. NCBI's taxonomy places the organism in Eukaryota, Metazoa, Chordata, Mammalia, Perissodactyla, Equidae.
AUUCUGAUAUUUGACAAUUAAAGUAGUUGACUGUUUCACUCCUUUUGCCUUUUAAUAUUCUAGGAACCACCGCCCAAAGAGAGGAUCUGUUGCUGUCGAUAAGUUAUUAAAAGCCAACUGGAUGCCCUAUAUGCAUGGGUCAUCAACUGGGAGCUUCUCUGUAAGAAUAUUACGCAUCACUCUUCUCAUAGAUAUCCAGCAUAUACAAAGCUCAGAGAAGAUAAAAAUGAAGAGGAAAUUGGUUCUGUUCCUAAGGAAUUUAAUCUAACAGGAGAGACAACUGAAUCCACUGCAAUAUCCCCCAAAUGCAGGCCUUGUUUAAAAGGAGCAAGGAGAGUACAAAAAGAGGAAGCAAUUAAUUCUAUUUUGGGCUUAGGAAGAAGGCUUGACGGGUUCAUGGCAAUUGGGCUUAGUGUUAGGAGAUAAGAUUUUCCAGGUAUAAAUAACAGUGUAAAUGUCUUAAAGAUGUGGAAGUUUAUGGCUUCCUAUUACAACUAUUUAUCUUCUAUCAUUUAAAAUAACCUGUACUACAUUGCAAAAGUGCUUGGAACUCCUUCUAGUUAGCACACUAUGCAUAUGUAUAUUUUGAUAUCAGAAAUUUACAGAUUUUAAAAAUUGCUUCAGAAUUUUCCUAACAUCUGCCAAAGUGAAGAUCCAUAAUUUGAUGACUUACUUAUGUAAAAUAUGUUCUACAUAAUUUAUUUUAUGACUCAAUAAAGUCAUAUAUUGAAAGACAUAUACUUUUAUGAAUUAAUAUAACCAGUAAGUUAAACUAGCAUUACUCAUAGAUGAAACCACAAAGCAACUUUGUGUUCAAG